UCCCUCCCCUUCUACUACUAACUUCGUCACCGACGUAGGGUUCAUCAAAUCGACCAUCUUAAAUGGCUAAACAACAGCCAACUCUUUCGAAAUGGCGGGGUUGCGCUCGUUAGUGAUGCAAAACGGUGACUACGAAGGCUGCCAGCCAGCCAGGCCAGUAUUGUUUCUAUCGUUGACCGGAACCGACGGCCUUGCAGUGUUGUGUGGUGCUAGGCUAGGUUUUGGAGCGUAGUUAUACCGCCAAUCGAAUGUGCGAGACACCCAUGGGGAAGACCGUGACCAGAGAGCAGGAGCUGUGACGAGGGUCAAAAGAUCCAUAAAUGGAGCAGCAAGAAGAUGGGGAAUUACAUAAGACGUCAUCAUGUUGUGGUUGGCGAGGCUGGUAAGAUGGGGUUUUAUUUUCCCAGGUUCCGUUCUCCAGCUCUUAUCCAACCUGCCCAGCCACGUGUGCCACCACCCAGCAACGAAACCCGGUCGCCUUCCCAUUUCGACCACAAGAAGCAUUACGUCAGCAACGGAACCGAUGACGUAUUUGGAACUUUUAUCGUACUCUUUUCCGGGGCAUUUUACCUUUCCGAUGGAUCCAACCCGCUGCAUUUUCUUCCUGCACUACAUUCGCACACUAAAGCGAACAGGAAGUACGAGUUGGCAGAAAAAGAAAUGCCCAAAUUGAUAGCGCAGUGCAAUAUUAUCGCGUUCAGCUAAAUAUAAAGCUGACACGAGCUUUGGGACAUUUAGGCAAAGCGACACCGUGCCGGUUGUGAUCGUGUUGUCAACUGCUUUGGGGUCGCCACCAAACGACGCAAAGGUAUGCACAAUUGCACACGCCGAAUAGCACACCCGCCCGAAACGAUGACGCUGGCAGGUUUACCUUGGAGCGUGGAAAUACCGUGUAUACCGAUGGCCCCGUUUUUCCGACGACAACAGUUUAAUGUUUCGUAAUUAUGAAGGGCGCGAGUGGCGAACAAAAAAAAAA
This is a long non-coding RNA of Anopheles stephensi (Asian malaria mosquito), 976 nucleotides long. RefSeq lists it as uncharacterized. The record is from RefSeq and is a predicted model, not a curated record. NCBI's taxonomy places the organism in Eukaryota, Metazoa, Arthropoda, Insecta, Diptera, Culicidae. The transcript has 2 exons.